GGAAGAAUACGCCCAGCUUCAGUUUGAACACCGGAAGAAUACGCCCAGCUUCGGUUUGGAACACUGGAAGAGUAGGCCCAGCUUCAGUUUUGAAAUAUUCCAUCAAUUCUUCUGCUCCUACAUCAUGGAGCUCUUCCUCAUCAAUAUAUUUAAUUUAAAUAUUUAUUUACAAUAGCCUCUUUUCUCUUGACCUGUUCUGCACAAGGCAGGCCUGGAUACUGUGCUGAGGGUUUCACUCCACGAUAGCGGGUGCUCUACCAGAGUCUCUGCACAGCGGCUACAUCCCUGUCUCAAACCAGUGCUCUGGCGUCUGUCUUUACCCUCUUCUGAAAUUACUGUAUAAAAAAGCCUGCUUUUGAGAGACAUCAAGAAUACACGGUUCCAUCUUUAUGAUGAGAGACAGAUCUCCCAUUAAAAGAAAAAUUCUGCAUUCUGAAAAAUAGAGACGGGAUUUCACCAUGUUAUCCAGGAUGGUCUCGAUCUCCUGACCUAGUGAUCCACCCAUCUCGGCCUCCCAAAGUGCUGGGAUUCCAGGCGUGAGCCACUGCACCCGGCGAAGUUCUGCACUUCUGCUGUUCUGCUGCCUUGGCAAUGGAGCCACUUGCUGAGAGGCUGCAACUCUCCUGGUACUCUGGGGGGAAGCUUAACAACUAAGAUGCAGAGCAAAGCAAGACGAUGCCGGCAGCAGGCUUUUGGUGCUUGUGGGGCAGCAGGUUGUACCAGGGGCAGGUGCAGACCCCUGCCUCCCUUGCCUUCACCACAGCCCCGACAGGCCAGGCCAGCCUAUCCAUCAUGUCUCUAGGAUAUCUCGGAGGUUCGAGGCCACUGCACCAUUUGCAGCACACUCCACUCGCUGAUCUGCGAUAUGGGAGAUGUGCUCAUUGGCGAAUAAAUCAUCAUGUCAAGUUAAUGGCCUGUGUCCAAGGCGAGUGACUUCGAGGUCAGCAUAGCAGCAUACCAUUGGAUGCAGUGGGUUCUGCUUCUGCGCACAGUGCAUCGACAUCAGAACAUAAAUUUUCAAAUACCAGAUGCGAUGAGAGACAACAUCGAGCUUUCUGUUUUUUUAAGGAGAAGAGGAGAUCCUGAAUACAUUUUCUGAAAUGUGCCUCCACUUCCUCACUAAUCCCGACACGUGGGAGGAAGGAGAGGAGGAUGGUGAAGACCAUCAGCAAGGGAGAGCAGGUCCCCUGCCCUGGUCCCCUGCCCUGGUUCCCUGCCCUGGUUCCCUGCCCUGGUCCCCUGCCCUGGUCCCCUGCCCUGGUCCUCUGCCCUGAUUCCCUGCCCUGGUUACCUGCCCCAUGUUGUAGGUCUUUGGGCUACAUUUCUACUCAUUGGUUGAACAUAAAAACCAUCCCAUGAACUAUUUGGCAGCAAGUUCAAAGCAAAGAAUAUUAACUCUGUGAGGCAGCUUAGACAAUGCCUGGCUUAACCCCCACUUGACAAAUAAAGACAUACAUUCUAACUCACUCACCAUCCCAGGAGCAAUGGACCAGGCUGAGGAACUGUGUCCCCUGCCCGCAGCCCACUUGGCCUUCCACUGUGACGUCCAGGCUGAGGAACUGUGUCCCCCACCCGCAGCCCACUUGGCCUUCCACUGUGACGUCCAGGCUGAGGAACUGUGUCCCCCACCUGCAGCCCUCUUGGCUUUCCACUGUGACGUCCUUUCCAGGACUCUGAGCAGAGAUGGGUUUAUAACAAGCAUAAGUUGUUAUUUUGUAUCUCUCUGCACAUCAAUUUAUAUAUUUUGAAAAUUAAAAGAAAUCCACUGAUAAGAAUUUUUCUCACAAGUUAAUUAAGGAAACUAGAUCAAUGGAAAGUUCUUAGGUUAUGAAAAUAUUGAUGUGAAUAUGUUAUGUGAGAAUCAUUUCAAAAUGAGUUAAAGGGGCUGGGCACAGGGGCUCAUGCCUGUAAUCCCAGCGCUUUGGGAGUCCAAGGCGGGUGGAUCAUGAGGUCAAAAGAUUGAGACCAUCCUGGUCAACAUGGUGAAACCCUGUCCCUACUAAAAAUACAAAAAUUAGCCAUGCAUGGUGGUGCAUGCCUGUAGUCCCAGCUCCUCGGGAGGCUGAGGCGGGAGAAUAGCUUGAACCCGGGAGGUGGAGGUUGCGGUGAGCUGAGAUCAAGCGACUGCACUCCAGCCUGGCAACAGAGCAAGACUCCGUCUCAAAAAAAAAAAAAAAAAAAAAAAAGAGUUAAGGGAAUCUAGGAUGUUUUGCUCACAGUCCCUGAACUUUGGGGCUUGCCUUGAAUUUGUGGUGGCCACAGAGUGCAGGCUUGACU
Symphalangus syndactylus (siamang) is the source of this 2277-nucleotide long non-coding RNA. RefSeq lists it as uncharacterized. The record is from RefSeq and is a predicted model, not a curated record. Lineage: Eukaryota; Metazoa; Chordata; Mammalia; Primates; Hylobatidae.